Molecule: ribosomal RNA, 253 nt
Filed under: uncultured bacterium
Lineage: Bacteria
Description: partial 16S ribosomal RNA
Rfam family: Bacterial small subunit ribosomal RNA
Source: RNAcentral
AACGUAGGUGGCAAGCGUUAUCCGGAAUUACUGGGCGUAAAGGGUGUGCAGGCGGGGGAGCAAGUGGGGUAUGAAAUCUCCAGGCUUAACCUGGAGGGGUUAUGCCAGACUGCAUCUCUAGAGGACGAGAGAGGGGGGUGGAAUUCCGGGUGUAGUGGUGAAAUGCGUAGAGAUCCGGAGGAACCCCAGAGGCGAAGGCGGCCCCCUGGCUCGUACCUGACGCUCAGCCACGAAAGCAUGGGGAGCGAACGGG